RNAcentral lists this unclassified non-coding RNA (336 nucleotides) under soil metagenome. Its description in RNAcentral is "partial contains 5.8S ribosomal RNA, internal transcribed spacer 2, and large subunit ribosomal RNA". The stretch from base 1 to 120 matches the Rfam family "5.8S ribosomal RNA", at positions 35 to 154 of the family's 154-position model. The record is from RNAcentral.
GAUGAAGAACGCAGCGAAAUGCGAUAAGUAAUGUGAAUUGCAGAAUUCAGUGAAUCAUCGAAUCUUUGAACGCACAUUGCGCCCGCCAGUAUUCUGGCGGGCAUGCCUGUUCGAGCGUCAUUUCAACCAUCAAGCCCCAGGCUUGUGUUGGGGACCUGCGGCUGCCGCAGGCCCUGAAAACCAGUGGCGGGCUCGCUGUCACACCGGGCGUAGUAGAUUUUAUCUCGCUCAGGGCGUGCUGCGGGUCCCGGCCGUUAAAAGCCUUUAUUUACCCAAGGUUGACCUCGGAUCAGGUAGGAAGACCCGCUGAACUUAAGCAUAUCAAUAAGCGGAGGA